UACAGAGGGGGCAAGCGUUGUUCGGAAUUACUGGGCGUAAAGGGCGCGUAGGCGGCCUUCUAAGUCGAACGUGAAAUCCCCGGGCUCAACCCGGGAACUGCGUCCGAUACUGGAAGGCUUGAAUCCGGGAGAGGGAUGCGGAAUUCCUGGUGUAGCGGUGAAAUGCGCAGAUAUCAGGAGGAACACCAAUUGCGAAGGCAGCUCGCUGGGACGUUACUGACGCUGAGACGCGAAAGCGUGGGGAGCAAACAGG
RNAcentral lists this ribosomal RNA (253 nucleotides) under uncultured bacterium. RNAcentral's name for it is "partial 16S ribosomal RNA". It matches the Rfam family "Bacterial small subunit ribosomal RNA", at positions 524 to 776 of the family's 1533-position model. The record is from RNAcentral.